CCUACGGGGGGCUGCAGUGGGGAAUAUUGGGCAAUGGAGGAAACUCUGACCCAGCAACGCCGCGUGAAGGAUGAAGGUUUUCGGAUUGUAAACUUCUGUCGCGAGGGAUGAAGAAUGACGGUACCUCGUAAGAAAGCCCCGGCAAACUACGUGCCAGCAGCCGCGGUAAUACGUAGGGGGCGAGCGUUGUCCGGAAUGACUGGGCGUAAAGGGAGUGUAGGCGGCAUAUUAAGUUAUGUGUGAAAUCCCGUGGCUCAACCACGGAACUGCAUUUGAAACUGGCGGUCUUGAGUAUCGGAGAGGCAGGCGGAAUUCCUAGUGUAGCGGUGAAAUGCGUAGAUAUUAGGAGGAACACCAGUGGCGAAGGCGGCCUGCUGGACGACAACUGACGGUGAGGCGCGAAAGCGUGGGGAGCAAACAGGAUUAGAUACCCUUGUAGUC
RNAcentral lists this ribosomal RNA (441 nucleotides) under uncultured bacterium. Its description in RNAcentral is "partial 16S ribosomal RNA". It matches the Rfam family "Bacterial small subunit ribosomal RNA", at positions 338 to 795 of the family's 1533-position model. The record is from RNAcentral.